UUUUUUUUUUUUGUACAAGUUCUUGCCUGCUUUUCUAAUUUUUUCAAUUUCUUGUCAUUAUUUCCCUGAUGGUCUACCUGUUUGAGUCAUUAUUGUUAUGCAACCUUGUGUCAUUAGGUUUGUUCCAUGCAUUUUUUGAUAAAGCGUCUACUCACUAAAAGGAAGUAAUAAGCUUAUUUUUGGAAAACUCAUGCUUUGGGUUUAUAGUUUCUCUCUUGUUUACUUCAUUUGCGACCCCUACCCCCUUCAAUUGCAAUUUGGCAUUGUGCAUUUUAAGAUACUUAAUUUUGAAUAUUGUCAAGAGUCAGACUUAUAAGGUUGGAGGGCUAACUAACUAAUUGGUUAGUUCUAACCUCUUAACAAUGGUUAGUUCAAGCCCAAAUGAGCCCAUCUUACUCUUUAUAGACUCUUGCUUUGGCCUAUUCAUUCACCUUCGCCUGUUCAAUUCAAGUUUGUGAUAUGAUAUCAGAGCGGGUCUGGCCUGGUUCAAUUCAAGUGUCAAGGCUCUCGGUGUUGCCAAUACAUUAAAGUUCAAAGUUUUAGGGAGAGAAUUUUAAGUUUCAAGUGUCAACCA
This 574-nucleotide unclassified non-coding RNA is filed under the name Hevea brasiliensis (rubber tree). Lineage: Eukaryota; Viridiplantae; Streptophyta; Magnoliopsida; Malpighiales; Euphorbiaceae. The record is from RNAcentral.